GUGAAUUCAUGACUGGGGUGAAGUCGUAACAAGGUAACCGUAGGGGAACCUGCGGUUGGAUCACCUCCUUACCU
Molecule: ribosomal RNA, 74 nt
Filed under: Enterococcus faecium
Lineage: Bacteria; Bacillati; Bacillota; Bacilli; Lactobacillales; Enterococcaceae
Description: partial 16S ribosomal RNA
Rfam family: Bacterial small subunit ribosomal RNA
Source: RNAcentral